Molecule: ribosomal RNA, 357 nt
Filed under: uncultured bacterium
Lineage: Bacteria
Description: bacterial SSU rRNA
Rfam family: Bacterial small subunit ribosomal RNA
Source: RNAcentral
AACGAACGCUGGCGGCAGGCCUAACACAUGCAAGUCGAACGCCCUAGCAAUAGGGAGUGGCAGACGGGUGAGUAACGCGUGGGAACCUUCCCUGUGGUGCGGAAUAACUCGCCGAAAGGCGUGCUAAUACCGCAUAAGCCCGCAAGGGGAAAGAUUUAUCGCCAUGGGAUGGGCCCGCGUAGGAUUAGCUAGUUGGUGAGGUAAUGGCUCACCAAGGCGACGAUCCUUAGCUGGUGAGAGAAUGACAGCCACACUGGACUGAGACACGGCCAGACUCCUACAGGAGGCAGCAGUGGGAAUCUUGGACAAUGGGCGCAAGCCUGAUCCAGCCAUGCCGCGUGAGUGACGAAGGCCUUC